RNAcentral lists this ribosomal RNA (116 nucleotides) under Danio rerio (zebrafish). Lineage: Eukaryota; Metazoa; Chordata; Actinopteri; Cypriniformes; Danionidae. The record is from RNAcentral.
UGUUACAGCCAUGUCACCCUGCAGCCCAAGACCGGUUACUCACUGAAGCUAAGCAGGCUGAGCCUGUUCAGUACCUGGAUGGGAGACCACUAGGGAACACUAGGUUGCUGUUGGAA